RNAcentral lists this ribosomal RNA (142 nucleotides) under uncultured bacterium. RNAcentral describes it as "partial 16S ribosomal RNA". It matches the Rfam family "Bacterial small subunit ribosomal RNA", at positions 349 to 507 of the family's 1533-position model. The record is from RNAcentral.
CAGCAGUAGGGAAUUUUCCGCAAUGGGCGAAAGCCUGACGGAGCGACGCCGCGUGAGCGAAGAAAGCCUUCGGGUCGUAAAGCUCUGUCCUCUGGGACGAAAAAUGACGGUACCAGAGGAGGAAGCCCCGGCUAACUACGUG